RNAcentral lists this long non-coding RNA (263 nucleotides) under Amborella trichopoda. RNAcentral's name for it is "long non-coding RNA (ATRI_LNC002712)". Lineage: Eukaryota; Viridiplantae; Streptophyta; Magnoliopsida; Amborellales; Amborellaceae. The record is from RNAcentral.
GAAAAAGGGGAUAUGUCUAUUAACAGCCAAGUGGUAUAAGAUGAUUCAUACACUUUUAUACUCAAAACAACUCUAAAUUGCAUAAUAACAUUCAAACCAACUGUAUAUUGAAUAUCUGAGAAUAAUAGUUACAUGAAACCAACUGUGAAUACGAACUUACUAUGACUUACUGUGACAUAUUACACAUUAAAACUGACUUUAUGAAAAAUUACAAACUCUAACAAACUAUAGAAAACUUACAUAAGAGAUAAACAGAAAAACAG